AUUGAACGCUGGCGGCAGGCCUAACACAUGCAAGUCGAACGAGUGGCGGACGGGUGAGUAAUGUCUGGGAAACUGCCUGAUGGAGGGGGAUAACUACUGGAAACGGUAGCUAAUACCGCAUACCAUCGGAUGUGCCCAGAUGGGAUUAGCUAGUAGGUGGGGUAACGGCACACCUAGGCGACGAUCACUAGCUGGUCUGAGAGGAUGACCAGCCACACGGGAGCUGAGACACGGUCCAGACGCCUGCGGUAGGAAGCAGUGGGGAAUAUUGCACAAUGGGCGCAAGCCUGAUGCAGCCAUGCCGCGUGUAUGAGGAAGGCCUUCGGGUGGUAAAGUACUUUCAGCGGGGAGGCGUUACCCGCAGAAGAAGCACCGGCUAACUCCGUGCCAGCAGCCGCGGUAAUAC
Molecule: ribosomal RNA, 406 nt
Filed under: uncultured bacterium
Lineage: Bacteria
Description: partial 16S ribosomal RNA
Rfam family: Bacterial small subunit ribosomal RNA
Source: RNAcentral